This 159-nucleotide non-coding RNA is filed under the name Alphaproteobacteria bacterium. RNAcentral describes it as "6S RNA". It matches the Rfam family "6S / SsrS RNA". From Rfam's summary of the family: E. coli 6S RNA was the first non coding RNA to be sequenced, but its function was unknown until recently. The record is from RNAcentral. Lineage: Bacteria; Pseudomonadati; Pseudomonadota; Alphaproteobacteria.
GGGUUGCUGCGAGAUGCGUUAAGCGUGCAUUUCCCUGGGGCCAUAUCAUCCUUAAGGGAGCUCUUCCUGCCUUUAUCCGUGGAUUUUGGCAUAGAGCACCCACCUGUUAACGCAGGCCACACGAGGAUAGACAACGCUGACGGUCUUUGCGGCGCCCUC